Molecule: ribosomal RNA, 443 nt
Filed under: uncultured bacterium
Lineage: Bacteria
Description: bacterial SSU rRNA
Rfam family: Bacterial small subunit ribosomal RNA
Source: RNAcentral
GAUGAACGCUAGCUACAGGCUUAACACAUGCAAGUCGAGGGGCAGCGGGAGCUUAGCUUGCUAAGUUUGCCGGCGACCGGCGCACGGGUGAGUAACACGUAUCCAACCUGGCCCAUACUCGGGUAUAGCCUCUCGAAAGGGAGAUUAAUCCCCGAUGUUGUUGUUUCACCGCAUGGUGUACCAACCAAAGAAUUUCGGUAUGGGAUGGGGAUGCGUUCCAUUAGCUUGUUGGCGGGGUAACGGCCCACCAUGGCGACGAUCAGUAGCCGGUCUGAGAGGAUGAACGGCCACAUUGGGACUGAGAUACGGCCCAGACUCCUACGGGAGGCAGCAGUGGGGAAUAUUGGGCAAUGGGGGAAACCCUGACCCAGCAACGCCGCGUGAAGGAAGAAGGCCUUCGGGUUGGUAAACGUUCUUUUAAGUAGGAAGAGUAGAAGACGGUA